CAGCCGCCGCGGUAAUACGUAGGUGGCAAGCGUUGUCCGGAAUUAUUGGGCGUAAAGGGCUCGCAGGCGGUUUCUUAAGUCUGAUGCGAAAGCCCCCGGCUCAACCGGGGAGGGUCAUUGGAAACUGGGAAACUUGAGUGCAGAAGAGGAGAGUGGAAUUCCUCGUGUAGCGGUGAAAUGCGUAGAGAUGUGGAGGAACACCAGUGGCGAAGGCGACUCUCUGGUCUGUAACUGACGCUGAGGAGCGAAAGCGUGGGGAGCGAACAGGAUUAGAUACCCCCGUAGUCCCUGUCUCUUAUAC
RNAcentral lists this ribosomal RNA (301 nucleotides) under uncultured bacterium. RNAcentral's name for it is "partial 16S ribosomal RNA". It matches the Rfam family "Bacterial small subunit ribosomal RNA", at positions 509 to 807 of the family's 1533-position model. The record is from RNAcentral.